AUGUGCCUUUUUUCCGACUCUUAUAUAUAUCACCUCCACGGGGACAACCGGCUAAGAGAGAAAAAACAUAAGAGGCCUCAGAGCCCAAAAAAAGAGAGAAGAGGCCUUAAGAGCCCAAUAGAAAAGGAAAGAGGCCUUAUUAUUGCCCAGAAAAAAGAAAAAGAGGCCAGAGCCGAAAAACCCCCCAAGGCCCGUGCCCACACAAAAAGAAAAAAAAAGACAGUACCCUUGGAGGCUGUGCUAGACAUUAGCACAUGGCGUUUUGUAGUUUUGAACAUUUUUAUUUUUAACUCUUAUGUAUUUUUUCAUACUCUUAUAUAUAAUAUAAUAAUUGUUACCGAUGAACUUUGCCUACUGUACUUCCACACCAUUUUCUUUCAAACUAAUGGCAUAAACCACUAA
RNAcentral lists this ribosomal RNA (402 nucleotides) under Triticum aestivum (bread wheat). Its description in RNAcentral is "partial small subunit ribosomal RNA". The record is from RNAcentral. Lineage: Eukaryota; Viridiplantae; Streptophyta; Magnoliopsida; Poales; Poaceae.